Molecule: microRNA precursor, 95 nt
Filed under: Canis lupus familiaris (dog)
Lineage: Eukaryota; Metazoa; Chordata; Mammalia; Carnivora; Canidae
Also listed under: 1 other name
Description: mir-8799 microRNA precursor family
Rfam family: mir-8799 microRNA precursor family
Source: Rfam by way of RNAcentral
UGGGGGAGCGUCGGAUCCUGGGCUGUGUCCCCCGUUGCCCUGGGAUCCGGGUCCUGUGCCGCUGGAAUCACACUCCUGGGGCUUGUCAGCCCCUU